This 453-nucleotide ribosomal RNA is filed under the name uncultured cyanobacterium. RNAcentral's name for it is "bacterial SSU rRNA". It matches the Rfam family "Bacterial small subunit ribosomal RNA", at positions 28 to 524 of the family's 1533-position model. Lineage: Bacteria; Bacillati; Cyanobacteriota. The record is from RNAcentral.
GAUGAACGCUGGCGGUAUGCUUAACACAUGCAAGUCGAACGGGAUUCUUCGGAAUCUAGUGGCGGACGGGUGAGUAACGCGUGAGAAUCUGCCUUCAGGUCGGGGACAACAUUUGGAAACGAAUGCUAAUACCCGAUGUGCCGCGAGGUGAAAGGUUAACUGCCUGAAGAUGAGCUCGCGUCCGAUUAGCUAGUUGGUGGUGUAAAGGACUACCAAGGCGACGAUCGGUAGCUGGUUUGAGAGGACAAUCAGCCACACUGGGACUGAGACACGGCCCAGACUCCUACGGGAGGCAGCAGUGGGGAAUUUUCCGCAAUGGGCGAAAGCCUGACGGAGCAAUCUCGCGUGAGGGAUGACGGCCUAUGGGUUGUAAACCUCUUUUUUCAGGGAGGAAUAAAUGACGCGUACCUGAAGAAUAAGCAUCGGCUAACCCGUGCCAGCAGCCGCGGUAAU